ACAAACCACGAUGUGCGCGUAUAAAUACCGCUGAAAUCUCACAGAUCCGGCACAACACAAUCAGCACCACAGUCGAUCGCUACAAACGGUCUGCAGCACUCAUCGAUUCAAAAAUAAAUUAUCACAACAUUCAAACUUCAACAUGUCCGGAAAGCUCGUCAUCUUUUUCUUGGUAGCCGUCGCACUGGCUUGCAUUGGUUCCGCCGCCGCCCAAUACAUCGUCUACCCUUCAGCUCCGGUCAUCACUCCCUAUUACAAUCCCUACGGAUACACCUACCCCUUGACUUACAACUACAGGUUUGGUGCUUACCCAUACCUCUUGCGCCGUUGAUUUGCACUGCCGAUAUCCCCCUCUUUUUCAAUCAAUACAUCGUGAAGAAGAAAACGGACUUCACACCGAACAAUGUUUAAACAAUACGUUAAUAAUUGUAUUAAUUUGAUUAAAAAAAAAAAAAAAGAAUGUAAUAUAUUUUUAAAUGUUUAAUUAUCAUAAUUUAUAAUCAUACACGUCAUGAAAAAAUAAAAAAAAAUUACACAAUA
This is a long non-coding RNA of Rhopalosiphum padi (bird cherry-oat aphid), 540 nucleotides long. RefSeq lists it as uncharacterized. The record is from RefSeq and is a predicted model, not a curated record. The transcript has 3 exons. Lineage: Eukaryota; Metazoa; Arthropoda; Insecta; Hemiptera; Aphididae.